AGGUCAAGUAGAGAAGGGCGCACGGUGAAUGCCUAGGCACUGGAAGCCGAUGAAGGACGUGACAAACGACGAAAUGCUUCGGGGAGCGGUAAGUACGCAGAGAUCCGGAGAUAUCCGAAUGGGGGAACCCGGCACCGCGAGGUGUCACCUUGAAUGUGAAUAGAUAGCAUUAAGGAGGAAGACGCAGUGAACUGAAACAUCUAAGUAGCUGCAGGAAGAGAAAGAAAGAUCGAUUUCCCAAGUAGCGGCGAGCGAACAGGAAAGAGCCCAAACCUAAUGGCUUGCCAUUAGGGGUAGAAGGACUGUAAAAAGCCGAAUGGAAGGAUAGCAGAAUUAUCUGGGAAGAUAAGCCAAAGAGGGUGAGAGCCCCGUAAGCGAAAUCCGGAAAGUAGGUGAGCAGGAUCCUGAGUAGGUCGGGACACGAGGAAUCCCGAUUGAAUCCGCGAGGACCAUCUCGCAAGGCUAAAUACUAACCAGUGACCGAUAGUGAACCAGUACCGUGAGGGAAAGGUGAAAAGAACCCCGGGAGGGGAG
This 534-nucleotide ribosomal RNA is filed under the name Lactobacillus iners. Its description in RNAcentral is "bacterial LSU rRNA". It matches the Rfam family "Bacterial large subunit ribosomal RNA", at positions 1 to 538 of the family's 2925-position model. Lineage: Bacteria; Bacillati; Bacillota; Bacilli; Lactobacillales; Lactobacillaceae. The record is from RNAcentral.